CCCUUAGAUGCUCUGGGCCGCACGCGCGCUACACUGGUCGAUGCAACGAGUUUCUUUCCUUGGCCGACAGGCCUGGGCAAUCUUUGAACAUCGAUCGUGAUCGGGAUAGAUUCUUGUAAUUUUUGAUCUUAAACGAGGAAUUCCUAGUAAACGCAAGUCAUCAGCUUGCAUUGAUUACGUCCCUGCCCUUUGUACACACCGCCCGUCGCUCCUACCGAUUGAAUGAUCCGAUGAAUACCAUGGAUUGAGAGUACGAAUAGGUUCGCUUAUUUCUGCUGCUCGAGAAGUGGAGUAAAUCUUAUCAUUUAGAGGAAGGAGAAGUCGUAACA
Molecule: ribosomal RNA, 329 nt
Filed under: uncultured eukaryote
Lineage: Eukaryota
Description: partial 18S ribosomal RNA
Rfam family: Eukaryotic small subunit ribosomal RNA
Source: RNAcentral